RNAcentral lists this ribosomal RNA (468 nucleotides) under uncultured Cellulomonas sp. RNAcentral describes it as "bacterial SSU rRNA". It matches the Rfam family "Bacterial small subunit ribosomal RNA", at positions 910 to 1382 of the family's 1533-position model. Lineage: Bacteria; Bacillati; Actinomycetota; Actinomycetes; Micrococcales; Cellulomonadaceae. The record is from RNAcentral.
UUGACGGGGCCGCACAAGCGGCGGAGCAUGCGGAUUAAUUCGAUGCAACGCGAAGAACCUUACCAAGGCUUGACAUACACCGGUAACGCCCAGAGAUGGUGCCCCUUGUGGUCGGUGUACAGGUGGUGCAUGGUUGUCGUCAGCUCGUGUCGUGAGAUGUUGGGUUAAGUCCCGCAACGAGCGCAACCCUCGUCCUAUGUUGCCAGCGGGUCAUGCCGGGGACUCAUGGGAGACUGCCGGGGUCAACUCGGAGGAAGGUGGGGAUGACGUCAAAUCAUCAUGCCCCUUAUGUCUUGGGCUUCACGCAUGCUACAAUGGCCGGUACAAAGGGCUGCGAUACCGCGAGGUGGAGCGAAUCCCAGAAAGCCGGUCUCAGUUCGGAUUGGGGUCUGCAACUCGACCCCAUGAAGUCGGAGUCGCUAGUAAUCGCAGAUCAGCAACGCUGCGGUGAAUACGUUCCCGGGCCUU